Podarcis lilfordi (Lilford's wall lizard) is the source of this 12252-nucleotide non-coding RNA. The record is from the annotation of a GenBank genome assembly. Lineage: Eukaryota; Metazoa; Chordata; Lepidosauria; Squamata; Lacertidae.
CUGGACACCAGAGCACAGCUAGGUCAGGGAGGGAGCUAGCCAGCCUUUAUAGACAGGUGAGAAAGGAGGGGAAGGCAGCCCAGUGUGUAGCUUCUCUUGCACACCUUGUGAUUUCUUCUUAGGAUAUGAUACAUUCUGCAUUCUUGUACAAUAGACAUGGAGAGGGGUGCUGGUAACGUGAAGAUGAGUAGCUGUUUGGAAGCUAUCUUUUUUAAUCUCCAGUUUAGUUUUACUCAUAUGGAAACUAACGCUGUGUAGUGUAAUGCUGUAGGUGCCACACUUUGUGUAUUUUGCUUGGCAAGGUUAUUACCGUUUUCUAUAAUGUGAUUUUCUAAUUUAUGUGAUUCAACUGCACUACAUACUGCAGGGAUAGCUGUGUGCCUCCAGAUGUCCCUAGACUCCAGCUCCCAUCAGUCCUAGCUACCAUGGGAUUAUGGAAGUUGUAAUCCAACAACAUAUAGAAAGCCACAGAUUAGGCACCCUUCGACAGUCAGAGAUGCUGUAGCUGCAAACUUCCUGCUCUGAGUUUGAUUAGAUGACCUCCAAGGUUACCUUUGAACACUAUUGUGCUCAAUAUUGUUCAAUAGUAUGAGAAGAGUGUGUCACUCAGUGCAUGCAGAAGCAAAUCUUUUUAAAAAAAUAAUAAUAUUUAUUACUUUUCCAAAAAAUUUAAACACUAAAAAAAAACAAAAAACAAUACAAUACAUUAAACAAAACAAAACAAAAACAAUAAAAUAAAUCAAAUAAUUUCAUUAUCCCAUCUUUCAUUCACUUAUUUCCACGACCUCCUCACACCUCCCUUUUUGUAUUCCACUUCUGUUAAUUAUUUCAGCAAUUCCUUUCCAUCUUCCUCUGUUUUCUAUCCUAUAAUUAUCUUAACUCAUUCUAACCUUAUUUUUCCUUUAAUACUCUAUUAAUCUAUUUAUACUUAAUUCCUUAUAACAUUUCUACUAAAGCCAUGUAACUUCAUUCCAACAUUUUUCUAACAUUCAUUAAUUUUACAGUAUUUCUGUAAAUAAUCUUUAGCAUACUAGCACCUUCACAAAAGUGUGUCUCCCAAAGCAUAUCUGAGUAUUGUAGAAAAUGUAGUUUUACUUCUUAAAACAGGUAGAGGAGAAGGACUCAAGAGGAAAUUGUGCAGAGUUGAGAAGAGCUAGGUAUUGGUGUCCUGGAAGUGAAUAACUUGCUGUAGAUCUAUAGGUAGCUCUACCUCUUUGGGAAGCGAAGCUAGCUCUACUAGAGCCUUUGAAACUUAUCCAUAUCCUGCUAUUUUGCUUUUCCUUUUGCCCACCUUGUUAUUAUCAGAAGAGUCUGCCAUGUGGCUCAGACCUACAUCAAAUUUCCUAAGAAGCUCAUCGAACCUCUCAGUUGGCACCUGACAGUGUGCCUGAGCUGCUUUAGGUUUGAAGGGUCUCAUAGUCAUGGGGUUGUGUAGCGUCUCUUGCAGACCUUUGUAUGCCAAGUGUAGCUGUUUAAAUUACUUUUGAGCAGGCAAACAUUUUAGUGAUUAUUUUGCACUUGCUUAUAUCCUGAUCACCAUGUAGAUAUUUUAGGAGUUGGUGGUAUAUGAAUAUACCUCUAUCUAUCGAUCUAUCUAUCCAUCUUCUAUCUCACCAAAAAUUGCAGAGCAUCAUGGGAAACAUUGGGACCUCUUUCUCCCCACCCAACAUGCUACUCAAGUGAUAAAACCACAAAUUUCAGGAAUUAAGAAGCAUUUAUCACUUCUGACCUUAGAAGCAGGGAAUAGUCAUUGUGGCUAGUAGCUUUUGCCAGCCUUCUCCUCCAUGAAUUUGUCUGAUCUUCUUUUAAACCCAUUGGCCUGAUCCAGCAGACUCUUCUGAUGUUCUUAGGGUGGGUUUGCCCAGAGGAAGGGCAACAGAGGUGACCAAGGGUCAUUGUGACUCAGAAUGUGACAAAUACUUGAAAGACUGCCUCCUUCCCUCUAAACUAAAAGGCCCCAACCUUUCCUCAUAAGGGACUUACUUCAACCCCUUGAUAAUUUUGGUUUUUCUUUUCUCCACCUUUUCCAGGUCUCAAAGACCUGUUUUGACGUAGAGAGGCCAGGACUGUGCACUGUAUAGUAUUCCAAAUGUGGAAUACUCCUUCCCGCAGAGGACGAGAAUUGAACUGCUCAAAUGGUUCUGUGACCAAAACAGCUCAUUGACCUCUGCCGGUGUGAUUUUAGGAGGGCCGCAGAGUCAUAAGUUACUUCUAACAUCUUCAUAUUCUUUUGGCAUCCAGGAUAACUUGAUGUUUCUUAUCUCGCUGGGGAUGACAAUUUUAUAAUGCCAGCAGUACUCAAGGGAUAAACACCUUGGUUGGUUUGUUGAGGAGCUAAUAUUCGUUCAGGUGGCUUUUGUCAUGCCACACUGCCUCAAAGUUGUGUUCCUUGUCCUCCUGGAUGUCUUUAUAGCAUUGGCAAGUGAGGUUCGGGACACACAGUGGGUGCCUCACAACACAGCCCCUCUCUCUUCCUGGGCCAUGACCUUCAACAGGAAGGAGUGAUGAAAAGACCACCUGUGCCCCAAGGCUCUUCAGCUCCAUGCCCAGAGUCUCAUAGUCCCUUGCUAUACAUUAAAGGCUGUGCAUGGCAGUAUCAUUUGUACCCACGAAUCUGAAGGAAGGGGUAGUGCUCAGUGAGCUUGAUAACACUUGGCAACUUCUCCGCCACAUCAUCAAUCUUUGCACCUGAAAGACAGCACACCUCCCAGGACAUCCUGUUUCCUCUGCACACUGGUGCCUCUGUUCCCCUCAGUUGGGAGACACCUAUCACCACCACUCGUCUCCUCCUCCUCUGAGAAGGGCAGGAAUCAUUCAAUGUGCUGUGCCUUCCAAAGCCUGCUUGGAGUGCUCUAAGUCUGCACUUGCUGCUCUUGAGUCUUCCCCUUUUGUCUAUUGGAGCUUAUUUUGAUAUUGUGGGGAUAAGUUACAAAGGCAGGAACUGUACGGUUUGAGUACUUCCUACAACUUCCUCUCGGCUGACCAUCUCCAGACUGCAAUUCUCUUUCUCCAACAUUGUCUCCAUGGAAGAUAGUAACAAACUCCAAAGGAAAAUUCAGAUGACUAUGUUUAAACAUGUAGGGAGCAUUUGUGUAGAUAAUGGUCAAACAGGGUGAACUGAUCACCCUAUUCUCACCCCUGUGCUGCUCUUCCACCUUCCAUGAUGACAUCAUCUGAUUCUGAUAUUCUCCUAGUCCCCUCCUCACAUUCUGCAGGGUUACCGUAGAGACAGCAAGAAACAACUUUGCAUCAUCACUAUUCCGUUGCCCACUUCUUACCGGACGUUGUUCAGUAAGCGUGCUAUCAUAUUAGAUAUUUGUGUUUUUUGUGUCAGCAUUCCUGUCAACAUGGCAGGUAGGAAAUUGUACCAUUUAGAUGUUCACCUGUUCUGCUUCAUUGUCCCAUGAAGCAGACAGAGAAGCCAGCUGAGAAGUUAAGGAUUUAUAGCUGGGGAUGGAUGAAAUCUUUGGACAACUUAGAGACAGUAACAUACAUGCAAGUGAGUGCUGUGAUAGACAGCAAGAGAAAAGGGAGAAAGGCAGAUUCCCUUAAAAGCCACCCCAGUUAGUCAAGGUCCCAGUACCCCUCAUGGGGCUUAGAUAAGCCAUGACUAAGGCCCAUUCAAUGGCCUUCAGUGGGACUUACUCUUGAAUAUAUAUUUCACUAGAUGUGCCAAUAAAAUCUGAGGCUCCUUCAAAAACAUAUAUUUAUUUUCAGUACUACUAUUUAUCUACAUUGCAUUUUGUAGAACAAUGUACAUCGCACUUGUCCAAAGCAGCUUACAAACCAAGAGUUUCUAGGGAGCAACAACACAAAACAUCAGUUUGGGAGGAAAAGCAGUAGAUAAAUCCGUAAAUAUCCAUUAAUGAUCCACAUUGAUUCAGAACCAAAAGCAUGUGAGAGUGUGAGAGUGUGAAAUAGCAAUUGUUCUUUAGAUAAAUGAUGAUUUUUGUCACCAAAUUAUAGAAACAGGUGAGCUUAACAGGUGUAAGGUUUAGCCGGUGCCUAAAUCUUUAGCCAGGGUGGGCCUCUACCAUCACGGAACCUUAGGCCCCAUUCCACUGGAACAGAGGAACCCCACUGUCCAGAUUGGGAGCCCUGUCCCUAUGCCAUCAGCCGCAAACAAGGAAAUGCUUCUGGUCCUCCAGCAGGUAGGACCCCAAACCACCCUGGGACCUCCUCGUACAGGAGUGGUUACAAACAGAAGUGAACAAAAUUCAGGCCUCUUUGCAGAGGAUAUAAUUUUAUGCACCUCUGACCCUAUCACAGCAGGCAAAGUACUAUGUACAGAGUUGGAACAGUUCUCCAGGGUCUCAGGAUUGCAAAAAAAACUUUUAAGAAAGCAGAGGUAAUGCUUUUUCAUACACCACCCCAUUCAUUUACAACAGACUUUUACAGCAAGGUUGAAGGUUCCAAUAGCUAGGAAAAGUUUUAGAUAUCUGGGGGUGCAAAUCACCCAAAAUUUGAACAAACAAGUUGUAUCAGUUUAAUUACACCACAUAACAGAAAACUAAAAUGUUAUCUUAAAGAUUUCAAAAUAAAACAUCACAAAGGAGGUCAACUACAGAACACAUAUUUAACAUAGCAGAGCUGGUGAGUCUGGACCCGGCCCCCUAGGCGAGGUGGAAAGGGCCUUGCAGGGAGCGGCCUUCAUGCCCCACAGCUGGGCAGUGUUCCUCGUUUAUGCACGUUUAUUUACAUCCAGUGGUUCCAGGCCUGCCGCCAUUAGCUAUGAGUUGAGUCUGAGUCCCCACCCCUGUCACAGCACAAUGGGCACCAAAGUCCUUCCUCUUUUACACUUCCAUUGUACUUUAACCCUUUCAGCUCUUCUGAUUUGGGGAGAAGGUGGGUGGAAAUCUCUCUCCCCCCCCCCCCCGCUCUCAAACAAAGAGCCCUCUGAACACCAAAGAAGUGUGCAUGCACACGGAAGCUCAUACCAAUAACAAACUUAGUUGGUCUCUAAGGUGCUACUGGAAGUAUUUUUUUUAUUUUCUCUGAACACUGUUUCUCUACUGGUUGCAUAGCAACCCCCUGAAUGUCGUCUUAUCUCUUCUCCUCCCCCUGCCUGUGAACUGUCUUGAGUGCUGCUCUAUCUGAGCUAACCCCCUCCUGCUCUGUCUGCACUCUUUCGUCUCCAGGGUCAGACUCUGGUUCUCUCUGUACUGGCAGUCCUUCAUCUCCAGAGCUUGACUCUUCCCAGGCAUUCAUUUUAGCUAUGUCUCUGACACUAAGUCAUGACAAGACUUGGUAAUCCCAGUCUAAGAGUCAUGACGUCAACUUCAUGGUCAUUUUUGUUUUCUCCGGUUAUGGCCUCUUUCCCUUUCCUGCUUUAGUUGCACAGGUGAUUCCAACAAAUCAGGGACCACAACAUAUUUUAAACUGGCACAGCAUUUCUCAUAGUUAUCUGUUUCUUCAGGUAAGGAUUUCUGACAUCUUUGGUUUUUUCUCCCCACUCCUUUACUGGCUUUGUUUGGCCAAUAAAUUAUACUUUCAGCUUCUACUGUAUUCUGCCUGACCUUCCUCUGUGUAGCUGGCCUAAGCACUUCACUAUUCCUUUUCUGCUUUGCCUUCUGAAACAGGGCUGUCAGUUGCUAAAUGCUUUUUGUACUCACUUUACAGUUUACAGUUUACUUGCUUUUAACUGAUUCCAUCCAUCAAGUUAAUAUUGCAAGAUUUCAAUCCACCUGAUUAUUCUGAGGAUAUUUAGAGUUUCUCUCAGUUUUGUACUAUGGAAAUUCCUCCCAGUGGCUUCACAGCCUAUUCAUAUAUAUUUGUCAAAUAACUGUCUUGUUUUUGUUUUGUUUUUGGUUUUUUCUUUACUAAAAAUUGAUUACCUAACAAAUCUGCCAGAAGCUGGUCAAAAUAUUGGGUUAGAUCCUGGAGAAAUAAAGUGUCCCCACAAGGGUUGAAUGGCACAAGCUUACUACUCUGUCUCACUCUGGCCAGUGCCUGCAUGGAAUUAUUCCAGGCUCCCAUUAUAAGGCAUGCUGAAUUUUCUUAAAGUAGAAUGGAAUGUACAUGUAAUAACAGAGUGCAAAUAUUCUCUGAAAAUUAAGCUAUGCAAAUAUUCUUAUUUCCCAAUCCUGUUCAGUGCCAUUAUUUCUCUUAACUACUACCCUACCUCCCCAUAGCAAUUACUGAAUCAUCCUGUCUGAAUUGAUCACAUGAGAUAGGUGAUCUUACCCAACUAGGGAUUCUUAUGUAUUAAUUCAAAUAUCUAUGCUUUCCACUUUAUUUCUAAAGCAUCCAUACCCUAUACAGAUUUCCUCAACCUGGUGCUCUCCAGGUGUUUUGGAUAACAACUCCUGUCAUCCCUGAUAGAAUAUACCAGUGUGCUUGAUGGGAGUGAUAAUGUCACCAAACCAUGGUAACUUGGUUCUUUUGAAAUCCAGAGAGACAAGUGAGAUCCCAUAUGCUAUAGGGCUUUCAAUAAGACACGUCGGAGACCAGACCUGAGUUUACACACCUUUCAUGUAACAUUUAUUUCAUAUAGUCAAGUAUACAUUAAUACAUUGGUACCAAGAGAUUCGAACACUCAUGCAUUCACACAAAAACUCACACAAGGCCCUUCAUGUGGGUUGAUCAAGCAUCACGUAAGAGCUGUGGGUGUCUGGUUGUAGCGCUGGUCCUGGCAACACUGAGGGUAAGCAGAGUGCCCUUUUUAUAGUCUUCCCCCUUGGCGUCUAUGGGCUGGCUUUUAGAACGACUAAGUUUCCACCACUCUCCUCCUGUUCUCCUUCUGGACCACCACAUCACCUUUGCUGUUGUACCUCAGAAAUACAUACGUGUUUCAGGCCUUUAUCAUCUGUCCGUGGCCCACUGCCAGUUCCUCCUUGUCUUUGUUCUUUUCAGAGGAUAUUUAUUACUGUUGUUCAUCGCCAGUGACGUCCUGUUUUUAUCAGGGGAUUUUUGCAUCAGGGUUUUUUUUUGCUUUCAUUAAGCAAAACCAAUGUUCUUUUGAACACAGUUAUACAUUUUUUCCUUGAUAUAACCAGUUUCUCGCUUCGCCUGCCAGCAUAUCAUGCGAAUUCGCCAUCUUCCUUGAACCCAACAUUCAUACAUGACAAUAGUUCAAAACAUCUGGAAGCCAAUGGUAAAGAAGGCUAUGCCAAUCUGUGUAACCAAUCAGGUUUUAUAAUGCAAUGAUGUAAUCAAAGGCAAACAAAUGAUGAUGAGAUGUCAGUGUUAUAUAUGUGGGAUUUGCAGCCAAAAUCACAAAUGCACAUUUUGCUAGGCAAGCAUAGGGCUAGUUCUUGAACUUCCAAGAGGGGACCUUUUGCAUGUGGUCACAUCCUUUGCCACCUCUGCUCGCCCUUGCCCUCACAGCUCACCCUCCCCACCUGCUGCAGUGCUUUUCCACCUGCCAUGCAAAAUCGGGGCACCCCGGAAUAAAGGCAGAGCCCAGGUUGCCUUAAAAAAGUGAGGCUGUCCCUCUUAAAACAAGGUGCUUGGCAGGUGUGUGUUAAAUCCAAAGCUGAUAAAUUGAUGCUGGAUUAUUGCAAUGUGUGCUAUAUGAGACUGUCCUUAGGCUUUGUUCAAAAGUUCCAGCUCAUGCAGAAUGUAGCAGCCAGACUGAUGAUGGGGGCACAUGACUAACAACAUGUGGCACCUUUACUGUCAUCAGCUCAAGCCUGUGGAAUGCUCUGUCACUAGAGAUUCAGUAAGUCUUUUCUGUUUUAACCUUUAAACACCUGCUGAAAACUUUUGUGGUCCACCAAGUUUAGGCAAGCAAUUGAGAAAAUAUUUUUCUGUAACAGUUAGUUAAUGGUCUCUGGUUUUAAUUUUUAAAUGCAUUUUUAAUAUAGAUAUUGUAAAACACUUUGGUAUUCAUUAUGAUAUAGCCAUAUUUACACAUUUUUAUAGAUAAAUAAGUAGUCUUUGGUCCCAAACAAAAAGUGCUUCCCCCUGCUGGAAUGUAUUAUUAAGAAGAGAAGCUCUAAUAUAGGUGUUAGGGCCAGAGUCAGAUCAGCACUAAAGAAAUAAGUCACUGAUGCCAGUGAAAUUAAGGUUUCUAGUGGUUGUGGCUUUUCAGGGGCAUCUAAUUAUUAUUAUUAUUAUUAUUAUUAUUAUUAUUAUUAUUACUAUUAUUUAUACCCCGCCCUCCCCAGCCUAGGCCGGGCUCAGGGCGGCUAACAAGCAAUAAUAAAAACAAGUUGAAUGAAUACAACUUAAAAACAAGAUUAAAAUACAACAAUUAAGAUAUUGAAACAUUAAAAUAUUAAAAUGCAGCCUCAUCACAGGAGGAGAAAGGAAAAAGGAAAAAGAUAGAGGGGGAGGGAAUCAAAUUGGCUCCAAGCCAAAGGCCAGACGGAACAACUCUGUCUUACAGGCCCUGCGGAAAGUAAUCAGAUCCAGAUCAGAUCUGGCUGAUCACAAUGGGAAAAUAAGUUACUGGACCAGAUGGACCUUUGGUUUGAUCCAGAGGUGGUUUUUCUUACAAUGUUCUCUCUCUCUCUCUCUCUCUCUCUCUCUCUCUGUGUGUGUGUGUGUGUGUGUGGUGUGUACAUGCACACAUACAAGCACACAGGACAAAGUUCCUCAGUCCUCCCAAUCUUUUUCUCCCAUAUCCUUGUGAGGCACCCAUUCACUCACAAUGCUCUGGCACCAGGCUACUUUUUCACAGUUAUAAACACAAGCCGUUCUAUUAAUUUCAGAUGAUGCAUUUUCUAUGCCUAGCUAUGAAUAAACCAGAUCAAUGCCAGUAACAUGCUUUAUUGGUCCUCCCAUGAAAUGAAUUUGUAGAGAGACAGGCCACGAGAUGGAGUCGACAUGCAGAUGAGAUUGGUAAGUGAGAGUGUAUUGAUUAUUUUCACCCCAGGCCAGGCAGUAAUUCCAACUGGUGCCAGUAUUUCCUCUUGCUUUGGUUCAUUAUUUAUGCGAUAAAAACACUAUCCCAAUGAUAACAACACGUUUCAUUUCCAACCCCAAGCAUAAAGCAUCGACACUUAAGAUUGUGAGAGGUGAGCAGGAGGGUGGGGAAAAGGGGGGUGGCAGAGAUUUUUAAAAAAAAAACACACAAGAAAACAAGUGCUAGAGAAACUGAAAACUGCUGAGCCUGGUCUUGUGGCUUUUUAUGCCCUCCAAAAGGAAGAUUGAGAGCAGGUGUUAGAUUACCAGGCUCUUUAUUAAUAACUCAAGGCUUCUAAAAGAGGUGGAUUGAUGGCACACUCAGUGCUUAGCCAGUGAAUAAAACCCUAGGUUCAGCAUGCGACUCAAAUCCAACUCAAACACUUUGCUCCAUCAACUGCCUGCCUCUCCUCAACAAAAAGAAGCCCUCUUGAGGAAGAAAAGGGAUCCAGCAAAUAAAAUUGGACUCUUCUUCCACAUGAGCAUUCAUAAUAAAUAAAUAAAUAAAUAAAUGUCAAGGCUUUGCUUAAAAGCCGGAGAGAUUUCCUUUGUCAGACUGCAGGAACACUUGGGAAACAAGUGUUCUCUGGUGUCACCCACCAUCAGCUUGCUUUGCAAGAAAGUCCAAACUUUCUGGCUCCUUUGAUGAAAUAACUGAAGGUUGUUUUAGAACAGAGAUAGCCAACAUUGUGCCUUCCAGAUGUUGUUGAACUCCAGCCCUCAUCAGCCCCAGACAGCAUAGCCCAAGGUCAGGGAAGAUGGGGGUUGGAGUUCAAUAAAAUCUGGAGGUCACAAUGUUGAAAUGCCUAGUGCUUGGUUUAGACCAGGGAUAGCCAACAUGAAGCCCUUCAGAUAGCGUUGGACUGUAACUCCCAUCAUUGCUGACUGUUGGCCAUGCUGGCCUAGGUUGAUGGAGUUUGGAGGGCACCAUGUUUCUAUCCCUGGUUUAAGACAAGCUCCAGGCAUUUCUUCAAAAGAGGCAUCUUGUGAAAAGACUUUCUCUUUUCCAUAACCCAAGCGCACUGGGGGAACUUGAGGGGGGCAGCAUUAAAGCAAAAACCUGUAACAAAAUACAUACUUCACAUCACCUUUAUGAGAGAAAAAAAAACUGAGAUGCAUAUCCUUCUUAAAUAUCUUAACCAGCUGCCAACACCACUUCUCUUUCUGAUUCCUUUUUCCCUAGCUGUGGAAAUUAAUCUGAAGCAGUGGCGGACUUUGAACUCUCAAAUUUGAGUGGCACCCUGUGCAAUACUAAAAUUCAGCGACCCCCACCCCCACCUCUUGCACUCUGUUGUACAUCAUUGCUGCAGCGUCUCCUGUGGUGCUGGUGCAAAUAUGUAAGACCAAACCAGUUGCUCUACCCUGAAACUACCUCUGUCUGAAGGUAGGAUAGUCCUCUUAGCACUCCUUCGGUCUGUUCAGGUCAGAGCCCAAUCUGUAGCUUCCUCUGAACUCCUCUUAUAAGCUCAAAGCAAGUUAGGUAAGUAGGUGAGACAGACCCUGAGAUAGCAUAAUACUUAGUUAGAUAAAGACUUCUAAAGUCAAGCCUUUUAUUAAAGGGAUUGUAAUAAAGCAAGUAAGAGAUAUAGACGGUAACAGUAAAAACAAAACAAAAAAGCAGUGAUUAUAAAGUAGCCCUUACACUUGAUUUGGUCCUAAGCUUAGCUUCAGUAAGUUUUAUACAACAAUGUGCCAAUAGCAUGGGUUCCAUCAUGGAAGGGAACAAGGAAGUUUCUCUAAGAUUGUUCAAACUGUCCAUGUUUAUGUUGUUUUCCAAGCUGCGAGUGAUGAGUCACCCUCAGUCAUAUGAAGCUCUGGGAUUCUUAGGUUCCACAUGUGCACAUGGAUGGCAAUAUUUAGCAUGUUUGUUUGUUUAUUACAUUUGUGUAUCAUCAUAUACCUGUAGAUCUCAGGGCUGUUCACAUCAUCAUCAUCAUCAUCAUCAUCAUCACCAUCAUUUAUUUAUUUAUAUGCCACUCAUCUGACUUGGUUACCCCAGGGGCAUCUUCCAACAAAUUAAAGCACAGUAAGACACCAAAUAUUAGAAGAAGAAGAAAAAGAGUUUGGAUUUGAUAUCCCGACUUUCACUCCCUUUAAGUAGUCUCAAAGCGGCUAACAUUCUCCUUUCCCUUCCUCCCCCACAACAAACACUCUGUGAGGUGAGUGGGGCUGAGAGACUUCAGAGAAGUGUGACUAGCCCAAGGUCACCCAGCAGCUGCAUGUGGAGGAGAGGAGACGAGACGCGAACCCGGAUUCCCCAGAUUACGAGACUACCGCUCUUAACCACUACACCACACUGGCUUAAAAACUUCCCUAUACAGGGCUGCUUUCAGAUGUCUUCAAAAAGUCAGAUAGUUGUUUAUUUCCUUGACAUCUGAUGGGAGGGCGUUCCACAGAGCUGGUAUGACUACCGAGAAGGCCCUCUGCUUGGUUCCCUGUAAUUUUUCAGUGAGGGAACCACCAGAAGGCCCUGGGGAGUGGAUCUCAGUGUCCAGGCUAAAUGAUAGGGGUGGAGAUACUCCUUCAGGUAUGCAGAGCCAAAGCCAUAAGGUAGGGUUUGCCAUAUGUCCAUUUCCCCCCAAAUACAUCCUCUUUGGGGGGAAUAAAAUUUGUGUCUGGGUGGAUUUUUAAAAUCUGGCAAAUAUCUAGGCUUUCUGUUCUUGCAGAGCACAUGGACCUCAAGCGAGCUUUUGCCAUAUGUGUAAUCACAGAGAUUUCCCAACCUGGCUGCGUAUAGUUACUUUUGCAACGUUGCCAGUUGCCGGUGCAUGCAUCUGGAGCUGGUUCAGGCUCACUGCCUCCUCCACUGACCAACCCAGAAAAGGGAAAGCAGUAAGCAUCGUGAGAUUUGGGCUGUCUCACACGGGGACGGGUGUGUGUGUAUGAAAUUUAAAUUAGAAACCUAGCAGAGUUUCCUGUUGCUUCCACAGUAGCCAGAACUGGGAAUGUUUGCAAGAAGACACAGGUGAGCGGCAGUUAAAAGAGGACAAGGGGAGUUUAUUUUCUCUCUCUCUUUCCGUUUGCCUUCCCUGUUUCUAUGUUUGCUGAGAAAAAUGCUUGGUGUGGGGGUUAUAGCAAGUGAAGGGACUGUGUGUGAAGAGGAAGGAUUUGCUGGGGUAAGUGCAAAUGUUCAUUCAUUCCUAGAAAUUGAUAGAAGAUUCAAGAAGCAGCGAAGUACUGAUUGUUUUGUCUAUCCAAGGACAUUUUCUAUGGAAACCGUUUUCUGGACAUGCACAGUUUCUGCAGAACACAGUGAUCUGUUUCUCAGUCUGUUUUAUCUCUCCAAGCUGACAACACGGAGAGAAAGAAAUUUUGCACCUUGGAACUUUAAGUGUACCUUCACCAGCGGCUGCGGUGAAAGCCUGUGUAUAUAGCUGAAACCAUUUACGUGUUUAUGACCAGCAA